Molecule: microRNA precursor, 165 nt
Filed under: Oryza nivara
Lineage: Eukaryota; Viridiplantae; Streptophyta; Magnoliopsida; Poales; Poaceae
Description: MIR812 microRNA precursor family
Rfam family: MIR812 microRNA precursor family
Source: Rfam by way of RNAcentral
UAAAACAUGAUUAAUACCGUCUUAUAUAAAAUUUUUUUAUAAUUAGUAUUUUCAUUGUUGUUAGAUGAUAAAACAUGAUUAAUACUUUAUGCAUGACUUAUCUUUUUAAUUUUUUUCAUAAUUUUUUUAAAUAAGACGGACGGUUAAACGUUGGACACGGAAAAC